Long non-coding RNA from Hevea brasiliensis (rubber tree), 861 nucleotides. RefSeq lists it as uncharacterized. The transcript is spliced from 2 exons. The record is from RefSeq and is a predicted model, not a curated record. Lineage: Eukaryota; Viridiplantae; Streptophyta; Magnoliopsida; Malpighiales; Euphorbiaceae.
CCCAUUGUCAGACGUCCCAAGCGCGUUCCCGAAGUCGGAAUCGGCAAAGGUGAGCCGGGACAGCCUUCUUCCUCCGCCCAGCCGCCUCAGUGACCAUCGUCAAGUCUGUGAGUAAAAUAUUAAUUUUAAUUAUAAUUUCGAUAUUAUUAUAUGUUCAGCAUGCCCAUGCAUCACUUAUAUGCAUAUAUUUAUGUAGUUAAACUCUAGGCACGAUUUAUGUUGCAUUCAUAACUGUUGAUGUACCAUGGAUGUUGUUGUGGUAAUUUGGAGCAGUGUGCGUGCGUUGGCGUGCGUGUGAUGUGGUGUGGACUAUGGAUAGGACGGGGUAGUCACGGCUUGAGUAAUUCGCUGGGACCCGUUCCUUCGAGGGGUAGUCACGGCUUGAGUAAUUCGCUGGGACCCUCGAUUUGGUUAUUAAGUGGAAGUCCGAGCUUGAGUAAUUCGCUGGCACCAGGUUGGAUUUAAGAGAGCUGUAUAGGGGAUCAGCUCCCAUAUGUUAUGAUUGAUACUACAGGGUGUGUGAGUGCUCCAAAUUACCUUUUUGAUGUUAUGAUAUGAAAAUGUUGUGUAUGUUGCAUUUCACUCUACAGGUUGCAUUAGUUUCAGAUAGUUAUAGAGAUUAUAGUUAAGAUUGAUAUUUUACUCUCUGAGUCGAACGCUCACUCCUGUUCAAAAAUUUUUACAGGCCACAGGAAGAUAUUUUGUUCUGGGUUAACCUGCCUUUUUACCUCGCAGGUUGUUUAUCAAUAUUGUGUAAUUUUAAUUACUCCUAGAAUUUCCGCAUGUGUUAGCAGUAAUUAUUUGAAUUUGGUCUGUAAUAUUAUUAUCAUGUUGGACCUGUAAACUUAAUAUUUUUAAGUC